Molecule: unclassified non-coding RNA, 868 nt
Filed under: uncultured bacterium
Lineage: Bacteria
Description: partial contains 16S ribosomal RNA, 16S-23S ribosomal RNA intergenic spacer, and 23S ribosomal RNA
Rfam family: Bacterial large subunit ribosomal RNA (bases 756-868)
Source: RNAcentral
CAAUGCGACAGGGGAAAGUAUAGGUAAUGUACCGAGUACCCAAAACACACAGCAGCGCAAGCCAGGUGCUGCAAACAAACGAUGUUGUGGUGGGUUCCGUCUCACGUUUCUGGGGUUAAGCGUCUGGGGACAGAUGCACAGACCUUGGAGAGGGAGAUGGGUCUGUAGCUCAGCUGGUUAGAGCGCACGCCUGAUAAGCGUGAGGUCGGGUGUUCGAGUCGCCUCAGACCCACAGGGCAGGUCUGAGGGGACGUAGCUCAGUUUGGGAGAGCGACGCCUUUGCACGGCGUAGGUCAGGGGUUCGAGUCCCCUCGUCUCCAUGGCGGUGAGCGCAAGAUGAAGGGUGCCAAGUUUGAGUAAAGUCAGACUUGACGCGGCAGCCAGAAGCAGGUAACAUCAGGGUCAACACAGUCAGUCAACCAAAGUGCGAGUGGCAAAGCAUAUGGUGGGUUUCAACAGGACAUAACUGAGCAACGGGCAACCCGGGACUGACACGCGGAGUGAAAUGCAGCGGCCUGGCAAUGCCAGGCUGUUUUUGUCUCUAGUGCCAGCACGUUUCUCAGGGAAAGCGCAACUCGGUCGGCGGCUGUGCAUCACCAAGGGUGGUGUCCAACGGCAGGCGGAGUUGACCGCCCUUCCCACCGGGCAGUGGUUACGACCAUUGCCGUGCAGCUUGACAACCACAUACUGCAGGAAAGCCGAAAGUAGUACGAAGUAACGCGCGUACGAGAGCAUCUUCUUCUCCGUAUCACAUGUUCAAAGCAGAUAAGGGCACACGGGGGAUGCCUUGGCGUCAAGUGCCGAUGAAGGACGUGGUACACUGCGAUAAGCUCCGGUAAGCCGUGUGCAGGCGCUGAGCUGGAGAUGU